This 315-nucleotide long non-coding RNA is filed under the name Cicer arietinum (chickpea). RNAcentral describes it as "long non-coding RNA (CARI_LNC002400)". The record is from RNAcentral. Lineage: Eukaryota; Viridiplantae; Streptophyta; Magnoliopsida; Fabales; Fabaceae.
UAAUCGAUUUACCAAUCGAUUCUUUUAAAACCACUUUUCAGUAUAACAUGUUCAGACUUGUUGGAAUCGAUUGCCUAAUCGAUUUCUGGAAAACUGUUUCAAUAAGAGUAAGUUCAAUCGAUUACUCAAUCGCUGUUCCAACUCUCAGAGUUCACUGUGUUUUCAAAAAGUUUAUUUCAAUCGAUUUGCCAAUCGAUUGUGUUCAAAACAGUGGCUCAGUUUUUUGAUGUCAAUCGAUUUGCCAAUCGAUUUAAUAGCAUGUUCCUGAAAAGUUUUUACCUGGUGUUUAGUUCAAUCGAUUUCCCAAUCGAUUGC